AAGCGGUGGAGCAUGUGGUUAAUUCGAUGCAACGCGAAGAACUUUACCCAGGCUUGACAUCGAGAGACCGCCCUUGGAAACCAGGGUUUCCCUUCGGGGCUCUUUAGACAGGUGUUUGCAUUGGCUGUCGUCAGCUCGUGUCGUGAGAUGUUGGGUUAAGUCCCGCAAUGAGCGCAACCCCUAUUGUUAGUUGCCAUCAUUCAGUUGGGCACUCUAGCGAGACUGCCGGUAAUAAACCGGAGGAAGGUGGGAUGACGUCAAAUCAUCAUGCCCCUUAUGACCUGGGCUACACACGUGCUACAAUGGUUGGUACAACGAGUUGCGAGUCGGUGACGGCGAGCUAAUCUCUUAAAGCCAAUCUCAGUUCGGAUUGUAGGCUGCAACUCGCCUACAUGAAGUCGGAAUCGCUAGUAAUCGCGGAUCAGCACGCCGCGGUGAAUACGUUCCCGGGCCUU
Molecule: ribosomal RNA, 455 nt
Filed under: uncultured Streptococcus sp.
Lineage: Bacteria; Bacillati; Bacillota; Bacilli; Lactobacillales; Streptococcaceae
Description: bacterial SSU rRNA
Rfam family: Bacterial small subunit ribosomal RNA
Source: RNAcentral